UUAUAAGAGACAGCAGUCGCCACGGUAAUACAGAGGGUGCGAGCGUUAAUCGGAUUUACUGGGCGUAAAGCGUGCGUAGGCGGCUUCUUAAGUCGGAUGUGAAAUCCCUGAGCUUAACUUAGGAAUUGCAUUCGAUACUGGGAAGCUAGAGUAUGGGAGAGGAUGGUAGAAUUCCAGGUGUAGCGGUGAAAUGCGUAGAGAUCUGGAGGAAUACCGAUGGCGAAGGCAGCCAUCUGGCCUAAUACUGACGCUGAGGUACGAAAGCAUGGGGAGCAAACAGGAUUAGAUACCCCUGUAGUCCCUGUCUCUUAUAC
This 314-nucleotide ribosomal RNA is filed under the name uncultured bacterium. RNAcentral describes it as "partial 16S ribosomal RNA". It matches the Rfam family "Bacterial small subunit ribosomal RNA", at positions 499 to 807 of the family's 1533-position model. The record is from RNAcentral.